This is a small nucleolar RNA of Spea bombifrons (plains spadefoot toad), 69 nucleotides long. The record is from RefSeq and is a predicted model, not a curated record. NCBI's taxonomy places the organism in Eukaryota, Metazoa, Chordata, Amphibia, Anura, Pelobatidae.
GGUGUACGUGAUGUUUAAAGCGAUCAAAGUAUGAAAUCCGUGAUUCCAACUUUUUACUACUGAUGCACC